AUACUUACCUGGCGUAGAGGUUACCGUGAUCAAGAAGGCGGUUCCUCCGGAGCGAGGCUUGGCCAUUGCACCUCGGCUGAGUUGACCUUCGCGAUUAUUCCUAAUGCGAAUAACUCGUGCGUGUAAUUUUUGAUAGCCGGGAAUGGCGUUCGCGCCGUCCCGAC
Molecule: small nuclear RNA, 164 nt
Organism: Bactrocera oleae (olive fruit fly)
Lineage: Eukaryota; Metazoa; Arthropoda; Insecta; Diptera; Tephritidae
Product: U1 spliceosomal RNA
Source: RefSeq, a predicted model, not a curated record